RNAcentral lists this ribosomal RNA (493 nucleotides) under uncultured bacterium. RNAcentral's name for it is "partial 16S ribosomal RNA". It matches the Rfam family "Bacterial small subunit ribosomal RNA", at positions 29 to 507 of the family's 1533-position model. The record is from RNAcentral.
ACGAACGCUGGCGGCGUGCUUAACACAUGCAAGUCGAACGGUGAAGCGCCUUCCUUUUUGGUGGGUGUGGAUGAGUGGCGAACGGGUGAGUAACACGUGAGUAACCUGCCCCCUUCUUCUGGAUAACCGCAUGAAAGUGUGGCUAAUACGGGAUAUUCUGGGUCUGUCGCAUGAUGGGUCUGGGAAAGAUAUUGUUUCGGUGGGGGAUGGGCUCGCGGCCUAUCAGCUUGUUGGUGGGGUGAUGGCCUACCAAGGCGGUGACGGGUAGCCGGCCUGAGAGGGUGGACGGUCACACUGGGACUGAGACACGGCCCAGACUCCUACGGGAGGCAGCAGUGGGGAAUAUUGCACAAUGGGCGCAAGCCUGAUACAGCGACGCCGCGUGAGGGAUGGAGGCCUUCGGGUUGUGAACCUCUUUCGCCAGUGAAGCAGGCCUGCCUCGUUUGUGGGUGGGUUGACGGUAGCUGGAUAAGAAGCGCCGGCUAACUACGUG